UUGAUUUCCUUCGGGACUGAUUAUUUUGUGACUGAGUGGCGGACGGGUGAGUAACGCGUGGGUAACCUGCCUUGUACAGGGGGAUAACAGUUGGAAACGGCUGCUAAUACCGCAUAAGCGCACAGCAUCGCAUGAUGCAGUGUGAAAAACUCCGGUGGUAUAAGAUGGACCCGCGUUGGAUUAGCUAGUUGGUGAGGUAACGGCCCACCAAGGCGACGAUCCAUAGCCGACCUGAGAGGGUGACCGGCCACAUUGGGACUGAGACACGGCCCAAACUCCUACGGGAGGCAGCAGUGGGGAAUAUUGCACAAUGGGCGAAAGCCUGAUGCAGCGACGCCGCGUGAGCGAAGAAGUAUUUCGGUAUGUAAAGCUCUAUCAGCAGGGAAGAUAAUGACGGUACCUGACUAAGAAGCACCGGCUAAAUACGUGCCAGCAGCCGCGGUAAUACGUAUGGUGCAAGCGUUAUCCGGAUUUACUGGGUGUAAAGGGAGCGCAGGCGGUGCGGCAAGUCUGAUGUGAAAGCCCGGGGCUCAACCCCGGUACUGCAUUGGAAACUGUCGUACUAGAGUGUCGGAGGGGUAAGCGGAAUUCCUAGUGUAGCGGUGAAAUGCGUAGAUAUUAGGAGGAACACCAGUGGCGAAGGCGGCUUACUGGACGAUAACUGACGCUGAGGCUCGAAAGCGUGGGGAGCAAACAGGAUUA
Molecule: ribosomal RNA, 702 nt
Filed under: uncultured bacterium
Lineage: Bacteria
Description: bacterial SSU rRNA
Rfam family: Bacterial small subunit ribosomal RNA
Source: RNAcentral